This 466-nucleotide ribosomal RNA is filed under the name Clevelandia ios (arrow goby). RNAcentral's name for it is "partial 12S ribosomal RNA". It matches the Rfam family "Bacterial small subunit ribosomal RNA", at positions 868 to 1533 of the family's 1533-position model. Lineage: Eukaryota; Metazoa; Chordata; Actinopteri; Gobiiformes; Gobiidae. The record is from RNAcentral.
CUUGCCAGGGAACUACGAGCCCCAGCUUAAAACCCAAAGGACUUGGCGGUGCUUUAGACCCCCCUAGAGGAGCCUGUUCUAGAACCGAUAACCCCCGUUGAACCUCACCCUCUCUUGUUAAUCCCGCCUAUAUACCGCCGUCGUCAGCCUACCCUGUGAAGGACUAACAGUGGGCUUAAUUGGCACAACCUAAAACGUCAGGUCGAGGUGUAGCGUACGAGAGGGGAAGAAAUGGGCUACAUUCACUGACCCAGUGUACACGAACAAUGUCUUGAAACAGACAUUUGAAGGAGGAUUUAGCAGUAAGCAGAGAAUAGAGUGCUCUGCUGAAACUGGCCCUGAAGCGCGCACACACCGCCCGUCACUCUCCCCAAAAAUAAAGCCAGACAUAACUAAAAGCCACACAAAAUAAAGGGGAGGCAAGUCGUAACAUGGUAAGUGUACCGGAAGGUGCACUUGGAAAAAU